CAACAGACUCCCGCGUAAAAAUAGAAAACCAAAUAAAUCUUCUCCACUCUUUGAGGACGCCGGCUUCCUGCCCCUGCCACACCGGCUGUGCGUGAUGUAUUCCCGCCGCGCUCUUUAUGCCGCGUCAUCGCAGCCCCAAAGUUGUUUACAAAUGAAUUUAAUUGAUCAAUCAAAGCGAGUGAAGAUCAAAAAAUAAAAAGAAAAUGGAGAGAGAAACGAGAUCAAAGCAGUGCGGGCCCAAAACAGACAAAUGCCAUACAAGCAGCGACAAGCCGAACAUGCAGCAAUCAGCCAGCAAGGGGCAACACCACAUUAGACAUGUUCUCCGGUCUUUCAGUCACUCACUCACUCACUCAGUCAGCCGUUCAGUCAGUCAGUCAUCCAGCCAUUCCGAUCACUUCAUGUCCAUUUGGCCCCUCCACUUCGGGCUGAAGAUUCAUUGCAGCACAUUGCAUCCAGCGCGGAGCUGGCUGGCAGCGUUGUUUUGAUUGGUAUCACUCAAUGAACUUUGAUUGUUGUAAAUGUAAUUAAUCAAUAACACAAACAUUUACACAACAUGCAACCAGGCAGCCGGAGAGGGACAGGGGCUCCGGGCCCCUUAGCAUCUUAAUCAACUCCAAUUGUGCUGAAAAACGACUGGAGAUUGUUGUGACAUUGGGUCUGGUCUUGCCAAGUCUGGACUCGGUCAAUGGUUGAUAAGUUGCGAAGAUAAAUUGUUCAGCACCGCUUAUAAGGCGAUUCGAUUGGCCAGCGAGUGCAACUUGGCGGCUGAAAGUCAAAUGUUGCAACACUCGCUGGCAGCAACACUACCAACUGCAACUAAACAUCCGGCGGAGGUCAGAACGGCAAAUCCCAUAAAUAACCCAACCGAAACGAGCCGUACGAAAACCGAUCCCCUCUGGAUUGAACUGAAUAAUGGUUUACAAAAUAUUUUUGUGUUUCAGCGAUUAAAACGAGAGGCUAAUCGGCUGCAAGGGUGGCUGGUGGCGGUGAGAAAUCAGCGCUCCAACAAUAAUAGCUGAAAAAUUUGUAAAUAUUUCAUAAAUGGGACAUAAAUUAACACAACUAAUGCCAUAAACUACAGCAGUGGCAACAACAAUAA
Drosophila ananassae is the source of this 1102-nucleotide long non-coding RNA. RefSeq lists it as uncharacterized. The record is from RefSeq and is a predicted model, not a curated record. NCBI's taxonomy places the organism in Eukaryota, Metazoa, Arthropoda, Insecta, Diptera, Drosophilidae. The transcript is spliced from 2 exons.